Molecule: RNase P RNA, 346 nt
Filed under: Moraxella sp.
Lineage: Bacteria; Pseudomonadati; Pseudomonadota; Gammaproteobacteria; Moraxellales; Moraxellaceae
Description: RNase P RNA component class A
Rfam family: Bacterial RNase P class A
About the family: Ribonuclease P (RNase P) is a ubiquitous endoribonuclease, found in archaea, bacteria and eukarya as well as chloroplasts and mitochondria. Its best characterised activity is the generation of mature 5'-ends of tRNAs by cleaving the 5'-leader elements of precursor-tRNAs.
Source: RNAcentral
UUGGCAAACCAGACAGUCGCCGUCCAUAUGGAGGGAGGAAAGUCCGGACUACAUAGGGCAACGUGCCAGCUAACGGCUGGGAGGCGAAAGCCUACGACAAGUGCAGCAGAGAAUAGACCGCCUACAACCUCAUGGGUGUGGGUAAGGGUGAAACGGUGAGGUAAGAGCUCACCGCAUGACUGGUAACAGUUCAUGGCAAGGUAAACUCCACGUGUAGCAAGACCAAAUAGGUGUCCAAUGGGUUGCCCGCUCAGGAUACGGGUAGGUUGCUUGAACAUGUCAGUAAUGACAUGUCUAGAUGAAUGACUGUCCACGACAGAAUCCGGCUUAUCGGUUUGCCUUAAUU